UGACAGCACGUCCCUAAAAAUUAUAGUUUUUAUAAUUUUUAAAGUGUGAAAUUACAAAAAUGCCCUAGAAGUGAAGGUGUUGACUUUCAUUGACCAACAUGUAGUGAAACGUACUAAAUAUUCUUUUAGUGUAUCCUGAAGUAUUUGACGAUACAAAUGCGUAAACGCAAACAGAAGUGAAUUUGGAGUUACAAUUAAAGUUUUAUGGAGCUACGAACCGAAUGUAUUUUGAAGAAAUAAUUUAUUCUAAGAAUAUUAUAUUAUUUUGUA
This 270-nucleotide long non-coding RNA is filed under the name Malus domestica (apple). RNAcentral's name for it is "long non-coding RNA (MDOM_LNC004629)". The record is from RNAcentral. Lineage: Eukaryota; Viridiplantae; Streptophyta; Magnoliopsida; Rosales; Rosaceae.